GUUGUGGAUUUUUAGUAUGGUGUACAUGAUCGGGGUCGGUUAUAUGAUGUAUACAUGCAAGUGUGCCGGCUGAUGCGAGCCAAUAGAAGAGGAGAAGCCAUGGAGAAAGGAUUAGGAGAGAUGUUCCAUGCCCUUAGCUACUGCCUUCCCAACACCAACUUAGGCUACAUCAGCAAGAGUGAAGUUGUGCAAAAGGGAAGAUGGACUCGUGGUCAGCUUUUUU
This is a long non-coding RNA of Lolium rigidum, 223 nucleotides long. RefSeq lists it as uncharacterized. NCBI's taxonomy places the organism in Eukaryota, Viridiplantae, Streptophyta, Magnoliopsida, Poales, Poaceae. The transcript is spliced from 3 exons. The record is from RefSeq and is a predicted model, not a curated record.